This 497-nucleotide ribosomal RNA is filed under the name uncultured bacterium. RNAcentral's name for it is "bacterial SSU rRNA". It matches the Rfam family "Bacterial small subunit ribosomal RNA", at positions 29 to 536 of the family's 1533-position model. The record is from RNAcentral.
AACGAACGCUGGCGGCGCGUCUUAAACAUGCAAGUCGAACGAUCUGUAGCAAUACAGGGAGUGGCGGACGGGUGAGGAACACGUAGGAAUCUACCUGGAAGAGCGGGACAACUUUGGGAAACCGGGGCGUAAUACCGCAUAGUGUCGAGAGACUAAAGGGACUAGCAAUAGUCGCUUCCAGAUGAGCCUGCGGUCUAUCAGCUUGUUGGUGAGGUAAUGGCUCACCAAGGCAACGACGGAUAGCCGGUCUGAGAGGAUGAUCGGCCACACUGGCACUGAGACACGGGCCAGACUCCUACGGGAGGCAGCAGUUAAGAAUCUUGCGCAAUGGGGGCGAACCCUGACGCAGCGACGCCGCGUGAAGGAUGAAGGCUUUCGGGUUGUAAACUUCGGUAGACUGGGAAGAAGAACUACGUUCGUUGAGGGCGUAGAGUGACGGUACCAGUCUGAAGCCCCGGGCUAAUUACGUGCCAGCAGCCGCGGUAAGUCGUGUGACA